GUUAGAGAGAGAGAGAGACCAUCUGGGUAGGGGCUGAGUGGUUAGAGAGAGAGACCAUCUGGGUAGGGGCUGAGUGGUUAGAGAGAGAGACCAUCUGGGUAGGGGCUGAGUGGUUAGAGAGAGAGACCAUCUGGGUAGGGGCUGAGUGGUUAGAGAGAGAGACCAUCUGGGUAGGGGCUGAGUGGUUAGAGAGAGAGACCAUCUGGGUAGGGGCUGAGUGGUUAGAGAGAGAGACCAUCUGGGUAGGGGCUGAGCGGUUAGAGAGAGAGACCAUCUGGGUAGGGGCUGAGCGGUUAGAGAGAGAGAGACCAUCUGGGUAGGGGCUGAGUGGUUAGAGAGAGAGACCAUCUGGGUAGGGGCUGAGUGGUUAGAGAGAGAGAGACCAUCUGGGUAGGGGCUGAGGGGCUGAGUGGUUAGAGAGAGAGAGACCAUCUGGGUAGGGGCUGAGUGGUUAGAGAGAGAGAGACCAUCUGGGUAGGGGCUGAGUGGUUAGAGAGAGAGACCAUCUGGGUAGGGGCUGAGUGGUUAGAGAGAGAGACCAUCUGGGUAGGGGCUGAGUGGUUAGAGAGAGAGAGACCAUCUGGGUAGGGGCUGAGUGGUUAGAGAGAGAGACCAUCUGGGUAGGGGCUGAGUGGUUAGAGAGAGAGACCAUCUGGGUAGGGGCUGAGUGGUUAGAGAGAGAGAGACUAUCUGGGUAGGGGCUGAGUGGUUAGAGAGACCAUCUGGGUAGGGGCUGAGUGGUUAGAGAGAGAGACCAUCUGGGUAGGGGCUGAGUGGUUAGAGAGAGAGACCAUCUGGGUAGGGGCUGAGUGGUUAGAGAGAGAGACCAUCUGGGUAGGGGCUGAGUGGUUAGAGAGAGAGACCAUCUGGGUAGGGGCUGAGUGGUUAGAGAGACCAUCUGUGUAGGGGCUGAGUGGUUAGAGAGAGAGACCAUCUGGGUAGGGGCUGAGUGUGGUUAGAGAGAGAGAGAGAGACCAUCUGGGUAGGGGCUGAGUGGUUAGAGAGAGAGACCAUCUGGGUAGGGGCUGAGUGGUUAGAGAGAGAGACCAUCUGGGUAGGGGCUGAGUGGUUAGAGAGACCAUCUGGGUAGGGGCUGAGUGGUUAGAGAGAGAGAGACCAUCUGGGUAGGGGCUGAGUGGUUAGAGAGAGAGACCAUCUGGGUAGGGGCUGAGUGGUUAGAGAGAGAGAGACCAUCUGGGUAGGGGCUGAGCGGUUAGAGAGACCAUCUGGGUAGGGGCUGAGUGGUUAGAGAGAGAGA
RNAcentral lists this long non-coding RNA (1258 nucleotides) under Salmo salar (Atlantic salmon). RNAcentral's name for it is "lncRNA (ENSSSAG00000118194.1)". Lineage: Eukaryota; Metazoa; Chordata; Actinopteri; Salmoniformes; Salmonidae. The record is from RNAcentral.